RNAcentral lists this ribosomal RNA (251 nucleotides) under uncultured prokaryote. RNAcentral's name for it is "partial 16S rRNA". It matches the Rfam family "Bacterial small subunit ribosomal RNA", at positions 525 to 775 of the family's 1533-position model. The record is from RNAcentral.
ACGUAGGGGGCAAGCGUUGUCCGGAAUGAUUGGGCGUAAAGGGCGCGUAGGCGGCCUGGUAAGUCUGGAGUGAAAGUCCUGCUUUUAAGGUGGGAAUUGCUUUGGAUACUGUCGGGCUUGAGUGCAGGAGAGGUAAGUGGAAUUCCCGGUCUAGCGGUGAAAUGCGUAGAGAUCGAGAGGAACGCCAGAGGCGAAGGCGACUUACGGGACUGUAACUAACGCUGAGGCGCGAAAGUGUAGAGAGCAAACAG